RNAcentral lists this transfer RNA (89 nucleotides) under Pseudomonas brassicacearum subsp. brassicacearum. Its description in RNAcentral is "tRNA-Leu". RNAcentral also lists the same sequence under 2 other names. Lineage: Bacteria; Pseudomonadati; Pseudomonadota; Gammaproteobacteria; Pseudomonadales; Pseudomonadaceae. The record is from RNAcentral.
CUUGUUGGUGGACCAGGUGGUCGACGGCCAAGGCCUGUUCGGCAUGUCGCCACGGGCCAACCGCCUGAUCGUGGAGCAGGGCGGCAAGC